Molecule: long non-coding RNA, 294 nt
Organism: Pygocentrus nattereri (red-bellied piranha)
Lineage: Eukaryota; Metazoa; Chordata; Actinopteri; Characiformes; Serrasalmidae
Exons: 3
Source: RefSeq, a predicted model, not a curated record
GGAGAACGAAAGACAUAGAGGAGUACAGAGGAAUAAGAAAGAGGAGGGAGAGAGAGUGUGAAGGGAGAUCAAACCGGGCUUGAGUGGACAAGACGGGCAAGCGGCACCGGGAUCUAUCUCGCAUGGAAAAUGUGACCUUUCCUUCAACAAACGUCCCCGACUAGAUACACAAAUCCUUCAUGGCCCGGCUCACCGCAGGAAUAGACUCGCUGUCUGCGACAGAUGACUCAACGAAAACAACGGCUCGGGGCUGUCUCGCAGCCAGGAGCGUAACAGGAUCAAGGAGACGUGGGA